UUUCUUUUUCUUUUCUUUUCUUCUUUCUUUCUUUCUUUCUUCUUCUUUCUUUUCUUUCUUUCCUUUUCUUUUCUUCUCUUCCUGUUUCUUCCCGAAGCUUCUCCCUUACUUUCUUCUUUCUUUUUUCUUCUCCUCCUCUUCUCUUCUCCCGACUCCUCCUUCCUCUCUUCUCCAUUCUUCUCCCACGGAGGGAGGAGGGCGAGGUCUGCAGGAGCUGAACCAUGGCCGGCGGCGUCCAUGGCAAUCGACCCUCUCCUUCUUCCCGCGAAGGAGACGCGCACGGGAGAAGAAGAAAAGCCGCGGCAGUUGGCCUUCUCCUUCUUCCCUUUUUCUUCUUCUCUUCUUUUCCUUUCACGAUUCAUUAGAUCUCCCCUCUUUUCCCGCGAAGCAAAGGGGGAAGACCUCCAUGCCGGAUCGCUUGGGAGGUGAUCGGCCGAGGCCGACAACGCCCGCGACCGGCCAGCAGUGCCCGCAGGACGGCUGUGGCUGAGCCUGCAACCGCUUCCCGCGAUGGAUCCGCCGUCGAAGACCACAGGUAAAGCCCUUCCCCUUCCCUUCCUCUUCUUCUUCUUCUUCUUCUUCUUCUUCUUUUCUUUUCUUUUCUUUUCUUUUCUUUUGUAAUUGAUCUAUCCUCCCAUGUGGAUCGGGAGGAGGAAAUGCAGGAAAGAAAACAGGUGGUCAGGGGCUUACCUGGCUUCGGGGAUGAACUGCGACGCCCCUCUCCGGCGGCAUCAACGUGGGUUCAGAAAACCCUAUCAUUGAGGAAGGAUGUUCGAAGCUUUUAUAGCCCCCGGAGAGUUAGAGGCCGCAACGGCCAAUAGGCCUGGCCUACUGGUCUAGCUGUAUGCGGGCCGGUUAAUGAACUGGGCUCUCACAAAUAGUGAUAGGGGGAACUUAUAAGAGGACAUUUCUGCAUAAAGGACAAAACCAUGGCCUUAUUAGUAAAUGAAUCAAUUAAUCUAAAGACAUGGAUUUUAGUCUAAAGAUCCUCCCACUAUUUUAUACGAAUCAGGAGCCUCUACCUCUAAUCCGAAGAAUUACUCUUAAUUCUUUAGUGGGCACUAGAAUCCAAUAGGCUAUACCUGGGCCCGGCUUUGGUCGGUAUCAACCCAAAUACACCUAAAGGUAGGUUUAUAACAAAUUGUUUCAACUAAACAACUUCUAGUGAUCAUUUUGCCCCAGGAAGCACUUCAGCAGGCGUAUAUCGACACUACUGAAAGUCCCGGUUAGGUCCAACCAUUAACAUGUAGCAAUCAAUGCAAACUAUCUAAUAGAUGGUCAAGCCCGACUUUGGCCGGUAUCCAACCGGACCACCCAUUCCAAUAGUUGCAACCGACUCAUCAUUAGUGUAUGACAAUUCCAAUGGCCGAUACGCACCAGUGUGCGCACGCGCCUCCAAUGUAUAUAGACGUAUUGGACUCAUUAUCACACAACUAAUGGGAGGCUAUGACGUGGUCAUCUCCAUUAACCAUAUCAUUUUAUGGACCUAAUAAUUUAGAGGAUUUUUAUAAUAAAAAGCUGACUCAAUCCAAAUCCUCCCUCUGACUUCAUAAGUCAGGUAUCAUAGGAAAUAGAUUCAAGUCAGUGCACCUAAAUCAGUCCAACUGAUUUUCUUACAGGCAUGGGUCAAUUAGAGUCAAUCAGAGAUCUGAUCAAAAGAGAUUCACCAAGAUGGCCAGGUAAGUGAGAUCAGCGGAAGGGUAUGCCAUUAACUUGACUGGACCGAAACCCAGCAAGUAGCUCCCAAUUAAAAACCUACUGAUUACAGUUGCCUUUGACACCAACUGGUUUAUCAAUUUCAAUUCGAUCAAUAUCAUAACUCAAGCUCAACCACGAAGCCUAAAUCAACAUCCAUUUGGUCUAAUUNNNNNNNNNNNNNNNNNNNNNNNNNNNNNNNNNNNNNNNNNNNNNNNNNNNNNNNNNNNNNNNN
Molecule: long non-coding RNA, 1930 nt
Filed under: Phoenix dactylifera (date palm)
Lineage: Eukaryota; Viridiplantae; Streptophyta; Magnoliopsida; Arecales; Arecaceae
Description: long non-coding RNA (PDAC_LNC006045)
Source: RNAcentral